GAAUCAAGACAGCUGAAUCACUAGGCAGUACUAGGGACUUUGGUCAUGUAUGCAGUCUGUCACGGACUGAAAGCUCACUAUGGUACCUGUAAGAACUGGAUUCAGUGGUCACACUGAGAGCCCGAAGAGCAGUCAGCCCUUAGUUCAGGACCUUGCUGUUGACCUCUUCAGAGUUUAAUAUUGGGCUCUUUGGAGAGACACAAGACACUAUCCUAAAUCUGAAGCAGCUCUAUCGAAGAGGGAGACAUUUCAAGGUUCACCAAAAUUCAUUUGCUAGUUCUUUUGCAGACUGAUAACACCUUGAAACCAUUACGUCGGGAGGAAAAAUGAAAAGUACCAGACGUGUUCUCCAAACAUCCUCUACUCAACAGAUUGCAAUUCUUUCCUAACAUUCAUAUCUGUGACAUUUCAUCAACGUAACUGAAAGAAGCCAGCGCAUCUGCAUGUUUAGUAUGCUAAUUCAGUUGGUGAAGAGCUGUGCGAGAGCAUUAGGAUCCUCUCCUCUUCGAGUAUCUUUUCCGUAAGGGCCUAGAACAUACUUCAAACCCUGGUCUGUAGCUUGAGAAGGGCAGAGAAUAUGAAAGAAAGUGGCGCCCUCCCUUUAGGUCUGUCAUAUGAUAUGCUGCAAGAGGAAGACAAGGGGUCAAAGGGCAACUGAACUGAAGGACUAACUACCAGGGGUAUAAAUGGGUUUGCUUUAUUUGUUAAUCCCCAUAUGCCCUAGUUAAAAACAAACAAACAAACUCUGCAGUCAUAUAGACUCACUUCAUUCCAUGCUUAUCCUUUCAUGCUGGUGAUGCUGCAAAGCAGCUUAAGGUGAAAGGCAGAAGAGGGCUGUUCUCUUGUGAUCCCCAGACUCAAGGCUCCCUUGCUUAAUCUCUGACUGAAAGAAUAGCAUUCAUAUAGAUGCCAUUUCUCAUUCUGAGUCUAUAUGUGGCCCCUCCUGAGGCUUGGAACUGAGGAGAGGAGGCAUGUUGGAGCCUUUUCUUCCACCUGCCCUCACAGUCCACCCCAGUCUCCUUGGGAAUUCCCCAAAUGCCCCUGAAGUGCAAAGUCAGCACCAGGAUGGUCGGAGCAUCCACUCUCAGCGUUUGCUUCUUCAUCACUUCACUAGACAACCCUUUCAGGUGUUAACCCCUGUGUUUGGGGUAGGGUUAAUUGAUGAAAGCCUCUGGAUAUAAGAGCUGGGAAGGAAGCUAGACUGGAAUUUACUGUAUGUGUGUGUGCUUGCACGGUGCUCUACUGCAUACGUGGACGUCAGAAGACAGCCUGCAGGAGCCAGUUCUUUCACUAUGUGGAUUCCAGGUAUGAAUCCUCAGAAUCAGCUGGAAUACCACAAGAAGUUCUUUGUCGUGUUUCUCUCUAUAAGAGCAGUGAAGACCAGUGAAGACCAGCAAAGCAUUGAACGACAUAGCAAUGAAAGAGCAUCCUCUCAUUGUCUGAGUUAUAUUUAUAUUCUUCACAAACACCACAUCCUCUCUCAAGCAUCUGCUCCAGCAAAACAUCACAGGCCCUCCCACGUGUCUGCUUCAGCAAAACAUUCUCCCACAAGACAGCUUGCAGAAAAACAUCACACAAUACAAUUAAGUUUCCAAAGAAACCAGAAAUUUCCACUUCGAUCCUGUACAGGAGAAAGGGGAAGAAGCACAAACAUUCACUGUUCUGUGCUUUCCUGACAGCAGAUGCCAUAUGAUCAGCUGCUUUAAGCUUCUGAUGCCACGCCCUCUCUUCUACAAGACUGAGUCAUCAAACCGUCAUAAUCCACCAUUGAAGGAAUUCAAGGCAGGAACCAUGGAGGAAUGUUCACCUUUGAUUUGCUUUCAUGGCUUGUUUCUAUUGUUUUCUAUGAAACUGAGGACCACUUACUGGGAUAUUGCACCACAUACAUAGUCUGGGCCCUCCCACAUUAUUCAAUAAUUAAGAAAAUGUUUCACAGAUAUUCCUAUAUGCCUACAGGCCAAUCUGAGGAAGACAAUUCUUCAAUUGAAGUCUCCUCUUCCCAGGGAACCCUAGUAUGUUUCAAUGAGAAAAACCAACAAUAAAAGUCCUGGUGGUUUAAACCUGA
This is a long non-coding RNA of Mastomys coucha (southern multimammate mouse), 2065 nucleotides long. RefSeq lists it as uncharacterized. The record is from RefSeq and is a predicted model, not a curated record. The transcript is spliced from 5 exons. Lineage: Eukaryota; Metazoa; Chordata; Mammalia; Rodentia; Muridae.